This 693-nucleotide long non-coding RNA is filed under the name Homo sapiens (human). Its description in RNAcentral is "HSALNT0325781". The record is from RNAcentral. Lineage: Eukaryota; Metazoa; Chordata; Mammalia; Primates; Hominidae.
CUUGGGAGCUGAGAGUGGCCUCAAUCUGACAUUCUGGAAAAACCUGAAAAUUUUCGUCCUAAAAAUGUAAAGAAAUGCAUUCUCCCAAUAACAUUAGGGAGUUGGAAGUUGAUUCUUCCCUACUCAAAAUUACAGGACCUGUGAAUAUGUUAUCUUACAUGGCCAAAACGACGUUGCAGGUGUGCUGAAAGUCACAAGUCUUGAGAUGGGAAAAUUGUCCUGCAUCAUCCUGAUGGAUUACAUCUAAUCCCAUCGGUCCUUAAAAGAGAAGAAUCUUUCCCAGGGAGAAAGAUAUAAUAUGAGAAGGACUUGACCCUGUGUGUCUGGCUUUGAAGGUGGAGAAAUGUAGUCAUAAGCCAAUCAACGCAGCUGUCUCUAGAAGCGGAAACUACCUUCAGUACAGAACCAGCAGGAAAACAGAAACCUUGGUCCUAUAGCUGCAAAGAACAGAGCUCUACUAACCACAGCAGAGAGCAAAGAACAAUUGCCUUAGAGCUUCCAGAAACAAUGCAGCAGAUCACCAAUUUCCUUUUAGUCUGGCCAGUUGUGUAUAAACCUUCUGACCUAUAGUAUAGACCUGUGAGAUAAUAAAUAUGUGCUGUUUUAUACCACUAAGAUUUUUGGCAAUUUAUUUUCAGAGCAGUAUUAACACAGGGAAGAAAAGAUGACUUAAAUUAUUUUGGGGAAAUUGGC